This 1494-nucleotide small RNA is filed under the name Pongo abelii (Sumatran orangutan). Its description in RNAcentral is "retained intron". The record is from RNAcentral. Lineage: Eukaryota; Metazoa; Chordata; Mammalia; Primates; Hominidae.
UAAAACUUAUGACUUGUUUAUUUCUGGAAUUUUCCAUGUAGUAUUUUUGAACCAGAGUUGACCAUGGAUAACUGAAAUUGCAGAAAGUGAAACGUGGCCAAUGGGGUGCUAGUCCCUCAGUCAUCCCGAAGCCCCUCACCAACUCUGCCCUGUAUUUCAGAUCACCGAAGUGGCCUUGGAGUACAACAACUGUCAUGGGGACCAGGUGGUGGAGCGUCUUCUUCAGCACCUGCGGCGGGUGGAUGCUCCAGUGCUGGAGUCCCUGGCCCUGGAAGCGCCGGCACAGCUGCCAGACCCACCGCUGAUCACAGCGUCCCCCUGCUGCAACACUGUGGUGCUGCCCCAGUGGCACUCCUUCUCCAGGACCCACAACGUCUGUGAACUCUGUGUCAACCAGACCGCCGGGGGCAUGAAGCCAAGCUCGGUCAGCAUGCCACAGUGCAGCUUUUUUGAAAUGGCAGCAGCUCUGGAUUCUUUCUACCUCAAGGAGCAGACCUUUUAUCAUGUGGCAUCAGACAGUAUAGAAUGCAGCAAUUUUUUAACUUCCUAUAGCCCCUUCAGCUACUACACUGCAUGUUGCAGGACCAUAAGCAGGGGUGUGGCAGGCUUCAUCAACUCUGAACAAGGUGUCUUUGAAGCCCCUACCGUUGCAUUUUCUUCCCUUGAGAAGAAAUGUGAGGUUGAUGCCCCAAGCUCCGUUCCUCACAUUGAGGAGAACAGGUAUCUCUUUCCAGAAGUGGACAUGACUGGCACAGACUUCACAGGCCUGAGCUGCAGAACCAACAAGACUCUCAACAUCUACCUUUUGGAUUCAAAUUUGUUUUGGUUAUAUGCAGAGAGACUGGGUGCUCCGAGCUCCACUCAGGUGAAAGAAUUUGCGGCAAUUGUUGACGUGAAAGAAGAGUCUCACUACAUCUUGGAUCCAAAGCAAUCACUGAUGAAGCUCACCCUAGGUACUGUAGGCAGUUUAUUUCCCCAAGCAUUGUACGUUUUGCUUGACUUCAUAUGGGUAAAUUUUAUUGAUGGCUCUCAUUACAUUUAGUUGUGGGGUGAUGUCAGCUUCGUAGCUCAUCACCAUCGGUCAUAAUUUUCAAAGAAGCAAAUUUUGUCUAUUAAAUGGAACAGAAACUUCCUCACUCUAAAUUUUGGAUAAGUUUGUCAUUUAGCCCAUGGUGGGGGUAAGAGUCCCAUUUUCUAAAUUGGCGAUUUCUGUCACAUGUCUAAGGUAGAACCAGCUGCAGGCAGUGGGGACUUGGGGACUAGAACAGGCAGGGAGGUGGAGAGCUAUUCCAGUGGGAUGUCCUAGGGGCUGAUGAAAGUGAGCCUUGACAGCAGCUUUGUUCUAAAGGAGCUUAAAGAGAAAGCAGUGGCCGGGCGUGGUGGCUCACGCCUGUAAUCCCAGCACUUUGGGAGGCCGAGGCGGGUGGAUCACGAGGUCAGGAGAUCGAGACUAUCCUGGCUAACGUGGUGAAACCCCGUCUCUACUAAAAAUAC